UACGUAGGGUCCGAGCGUUGUCCGGAAUUACUGGGCGUAAAGAGCUCGUAGGUGGUUUGUCGCGUUGUUCGUGAAAACUCACAGCUCAACUGUGGGCGUGCGGGCGAUACGGGCAGACUGGAGUACUGCAGGGGAGACUGGAAUUCCUGGUGUAGCGGUGGAAUGCGCAGAUAUCAGGAGGAACACCGGUGGCGAAGGCGGGUCUCUGGGCAGUAACUGACGCUGAGGCGCGAAAGCGUGGGGAGCAAACAGG
This 253-nucleotide ribosomal RNA is filed under the name uncultured bacterium. RNAcentral describes it as "partial 16S ribosomal RNA". It matches the Rfam family "Bacterial small subunit ribosomal RNA", at positions 524 to 776 of the family's 1533-position model. The record is from RNAcentral.